UUAAAAUUUUGACCUGGCCUCCUUGUUGGCUUGUAUCUGAACAUCUCCAAGGCACCCUGUCAAUGACGUGAUCCGCCUCUGGCCACUAUCUGUACGUGGAUGGGUGACAUGUGACAGAAGGGCAGUCUGACAGAAUGGCAUCUGACAUGGCAGCACAUAUGAAGAUGUGUCACUCUACACAUGCCUCUUCCACAUGCCUCCAUGCGGAAAAAAUGGCACCCACUGACAUUCAUUGACACCUGCUGAACAUCUGUGGAGUCCAAACAGUGAAUAAAGUUUUUCACUUAAGACGUUCAUCCGUUGGCAGUACAGUUUAUCUCCUUGGGAGGUAAACAGACAUAAGAUUCACAGACCAUUGUCUCCAAAAAGCCGUUAUUCCGCCCAUACCCUUCCUUGUCCUGACUGUGAAUUCCAUACUCAUCACACGCUUUCCCAAGAAAGUGUCUGCAUGAACCUUUGCUGAUGGGUGUUACAAUAUUUCACAGUAGAAAUCCAGAGAAUGUGUUGUAAAAAGCAGAAAGACUUGGUCUGGCUGAGAUUUUUUUCUUUUUGUACUAGACUGGGAGCUCUACCAAAUAAAACACCCUGAAGUUCUCUGCUUCUGUCUGACUUAGCAAACCGAACAAGUGAAGUGGAUAUAAAUAUCCCUGCGGCAUUUAUCAAGAAGUGAAAUUGAGCAACAAAGUAAAUUUUGGUGAUGAGGAGGUACAUUGUUGAUGGCCUUCAGAUACAACAACAGCUGCAGUAAGAAGGCCUUUCGGUUCUAGAACCUGAAGAAGGAACCUUGCAGUCCAAUUGUACUGCUGGUUACCUGCUCCCCUGACAGCACUUGAGCACUCUGUCCACACAAUGCAGUCAUUCUCUUCAGGCUGAUGAACUCUGAGGAUAUCAGUGACAAACAGCAAAGUAUUUUGAUUGCAACACAGGUCUUUGAACUAAAACUCCAGAGGAAUGUUGGCACAGGGCUAACAAUGCCGAGCAAUUAGCCUAAGUGCUCUCCCACUGAAAUGUAAUCACCCUCCACAAGGAACUAGCUCCUGCUGGGGAAAGCAAGGAGAAGGCGAAUUUGGCAAGAAGUCACCUGGCAGGCGGUCUACCAACACCUCCCUGAGUGCCACUCAGGUGCCAUGUUCACCCUCUGGAGGCUGCAUGUGAAUGAGGCCCCAGGCCCCCAGCAGUGUCUGGCUGCAUCCAAGGAGCCUCUCACAUGUUUUUCCCUUUGAGUAAAAACAGGAGGCCUGGAAAUC
Long non-coding RNA from Gallus gallus (chicken), 1247 nucleotides. The record is from Ensembl. NCBI's taxonomy places the organism in Eukaryota, Metazoa, Chordata, Aves, Galliformes, Phasianidae.